This 742-nucleotide long non-coding RNA is filed under the name Cavia porcellus (domestic guinea pig). RNAcentral's name for it is "lncRNA (ENSCPOG00000031014.1)". Lineage: Eukaryota; Metazoa; Chordata; Mammalia; Rodentia; Caviidae. The record is from RNAcentral.
GCCCUUUGUACCCAGGUACAGUUCAGCCUGGUCAUGCAUAUCCUGUUGGGGAGCAGCAGGGUCCAGCGUACCCGGGUGAUGGUCGCCCAGGCUACAUGGGUGUUGAUCCACGUGGCCAAGUAUUUUUGGAUCCAAACAGAAUUCCUGCCUUUCCUGCUCAGACUGGCCCAGGCCAAGAUGCCACCCCUUUCAGGAGUCGAGACUCUCUUACCUUUGUCCACCAAGUCUCAUCUGAAGCAAGUGAACUCAGGAGUGGAGCCCGGAGUGAGUCAGUGGAGAAACUGGCUCCUAACUUCCCCGUGGCUAUGGAAACGUUUCGUCUGAUGGGAGAAAUCAUCAGCCUCUAUGUAGAACUAAAGGAAAGGAUGAGGGAGCUGGAUGAGGAAAAACCUGGCCAAACGGACUUGGAGAAGAUACAGUACCUGUUCAUGCUGUUGGUCAAGAAGACCUUACCUCCUGACCUGGAAGAGCAGCUGAAGACCUUAAAGACCCUGACCAAAGAUGUUCGCCAGGAUAAAGCUAAAGUAUGUAAGGGAGGGUCAGCUCCUGGGCCUUGCAGAGUGAGUCAGAGUUCCUUCUGUCCACUCUUGGGUAGAUGAUGGUCCUUUGCCGCACACUGCUGUGUGACUGGGUCUUUGCCGUCCAUCAGUGAGGCGAUGCAGUUAGGAGGAAUCACCAUGUCCACUUCCUAGAUCUAAAAAGGACAGCCAAAGCUGUUGGUGUACUGUUGAAUAUGCAGUGG